Molecule: ribosomal RNA, 253 nt
Filed under: uncultured bacterium
Lineage: Bacteria
Description: partial 16S ribosomal RNA
Rfam family: Bacterial small subunit ribosomal RNA
Source: RNAcentral
UACGAAGGGGGCUAGCGUUGUUCGGAAUUACUGGGCGUAAAGCGUGCGCAGGCGGUUGUGCAAGACAGAUGUGAAAUCCCCAGGCUCAACCUGGGAACUGCGUCCGAUACUGGAUGGCUUGAAUCCGGGAGAGGGAUGCAGAAUUCCAGGUGUAGCGGUGAAAUUCGUAGAUAUUGGGAAGAACACCGGUGGCGAAGGCGGCUCUCUGGACCGACACUGACGCUGAGGCGCGAAAGCGUGGGGAGCAAACAGG